CUGUGCAACCAUUAGCAAGGGAGAGAGGAGAAGAUGCAAUCCAUCCUGCUAUGUCUUGUUCUCCUGAGCAUCUCACCUGGUUUCUGUGCCAGCCCACAGCUCACCCAGUCCAGUCCAAUGCUGGUGAAACCUGGUGGGUCCUUCAAACUGACCUGCACCGUUUCUGGGGUGCAAGUCAGUGAUUACUACUGGGACUGGAUCCGGCAGGCUCAAGGGGAGAGGCUGGAGUGGCUGGGGUUCAUCCGCAACACUGCAAACCAAGGAACCGUCCAACUCAAUCCUGCAUUCAGUAGUCGAACGAGCAUCACCAGGGACACAUCCAAGAAUGAGGUGUAUCUUCAGUUGAGCUCCACCACAGCUGCAGACACUGCAAUGUAUUAUUGUGCACGAGACACAGUGUCUCAAAGCACUGGAGCAUCCAUGCAAAAACCACCCCGACCUCCACCACAGCCACAUGCAUGGGCACUGGCAUGA
Non-coding RNA from Varanus komodoensis (Komodo dragon), 474 nucleotides. The record is from the annotation of a RefSeq genome assembly. Lineage: Eukaryota; Metazoa; Chordata; Lepidosauria; Squamata; Varanidae.